CGCCACGUCCUCGCUCUGGGCUCCCUCCUCCCGGACCGAGCUCCAGCUUUGUUCUCCCGCCCAGGGGACACCUUGGCCUCGCUUUGAUUUUUUUGUUUUUUUGUUUUGUUACCGCUGGAAGCCCUGUCUAAGGUUUAGGGUUGUGGACGCAAAACUCUCCAGAACCGGGCUUCGAGUUAACACUAGCACCCUCUGGUCCUCCCUGGAAAUGCAUCAGAAGCAAAGGAACUGCCUUUCUGAAAACGAGGACUACCUCGCGCCUAGAGGACUCCGACCUCCUCCCACCCGAAGGAACGAUAUUUACCAACAUUUAAAAAAAUAAAAGCGGUACAAACACAGCACAUUUGAACAUCUCAAGAGCCCGCCAGCCCCUCCGUGUUCCAGGGUGUAAGGCGUGUGUACUUAUCUAUAUAUCUUGGACAAAUGUAUGAUAAUUUUUUUUUCAUUGCGCGCAGCUGCAGUUUUCAGGAGGUCCUUGUCUGUCUGGCUCUAAUUGUGGAGACAAAACCCCACACGACUUUACUCAAAGGACCUUAAUCUAGAGAAACAUUAUGUCAUUUGCAAAUCAUUGCUUAAUCGGACUACGCUAUUCAGAGGUGCAGGGAGAAGGGGCAUUUUCCGAAAUGGCCCUAGAGCUCAGGUGUUGAGGAGGAUGCUCCUUCUAGCAGUUUCUUUCCCCAGGCAGUUGGUGUAACUGUCAAAUGCAACAGAAGGCGUUGCCUUCCUUGGGGACGAGGAGGAUUUGCAAUUUACUUCUGAGACACUGUAUUCCCUGGAGUUUAAGGUAAUUUAGUUCUGCCACCGGAGAGGCAGUAACAAUAGGAAGAGAGAGUUUGGUCCUUGACAUUUAAAAAAACCCUGGGUUUGUGCAGGAAUCUCGCGGCAGGAAAGGAGGAAGCAGGCUGCCGUUGGACCCAUUCCAGCAGACACCCUGAAAGAGUCUUUUCCUUUUGUGGGGAAAAUGGAAACAUUUUGGAAUCCAGAUUUAAAACUCUGACUUAUAUUUUACAUGUUAAAUCACUGAAAGAUUGGGUACAACACUGCAUAAAGCUUCAAAACCUGCAAAUAUUUGACUGGUUUUGUAAGCGAGCAGCUGCCAGUCAUGUGGCUUUGACAGGCUGCCACAAUUUUGUCACUUAAUAGUGGGUGUUAGGCUAAGUG
This 1161-nucleotide long non-coding RNA is filed under the name Sus scrofa (pig). RNAcentral describes it as "lncRNA (ENSSSCG00030011006.1)". The record is from RNAcentral. Lineage: Eukaryota; Metazoa; Chordata; Mammalia; Artiodactyla; Suidae.